RNAcentral lists this long non-coding RNA (403 nucleotides) under Ananas comosus (pineapple). RNAcentral describes it as "long non-coding RNA (ACOM_LNC024649)". The record is from RNAcentral. Lineage: Eukaryota; Viridiplantae; Streptophyta; Magnoliopsida; Poales; Bromeliaceae.
CUAUUAUACCGUUUGGUUCGGGUAUAAGUAAGAACUAGCUAUUACAGGGAUAGGUACAAGUAUGGGGAUAAGAAAAAUAGCGUUUGGAUAAAAAUUGGGUUGUUUCCGGGGAUAAGAAAAAUAGCGUUUGGAUAGAUAAUAUGGAAUAAGAAAAAUAUUAGAUAGUUUUAUAUAGAAAAUGGAGGUGUUGGUGGGGAUAGUUAUAACCGGUUAUUAUAGAUAACCGAGAACUACUGUUCUCGGGUAAAAAAUUAGCGUUUGAGUAUAAAGGGGGGAUAAGGGCCUAUCCCUAUCCCUAUCCCCAUCCCCUAACCAAACACUGGGUGCUCUCGAAUUAAAUAUGGUAGAAAGAAGCUAUCUCUUAGUUCCGAUUGGAAUUUCUACAUCUAUAGAAAAUUUGUUU